Molecule: ribosomal RNA, 431 nt
Filed under: uncultured bacterium
Lineage: Bacteria
Description: partial 16S ribosomal RNA
Rfam family: Bacterial small subunit ribosomal RNA
Source: RNAcentral
AACGAACGCUGGCGGCAGGCUUAACACAUGCAAGUCGAACGCCCCGCAAGGGGAGUGGCAGACGGGUGAGUAACGCGUGGGAACAUACCCUUUUCUACGGAAUAGCUCUGGGAAACUGGAAUUAAUACCGUAUACGCCCUACGGGGGAAAGAUUUAUCGGGGAAGGAUUGGCCCGCGUUGGAUUAGCUAGUUGGUGGGGUAAAGGCCUACCAAGGCGACGAUCCAUAGCUGGUCUGAGGGGAUGAUCAGCCACAUUGGGACUGAGACACGGCCCAAACUCCUACGGGAGGCAGCAGUGGGGAAUAUUGGACAAUGGGCGCAAGCCUGAUCCAGCCAUGCCGCGUGAGUGAUGAAGGCCUUAGGGUUGUAAAGCUCUUCCACCGAUGAAGAUAAUGACGGUAGUCGGAGAAAAAGCCCCGGCUAACUUCGUG